UACGGAGGGUGCAAGCGUUAUCCGGAUUUAUUGGGUUUAAAGGGUACGUAGGCGGCAUUGUAAGUCAGUGGUGAAAGCCAACAGCUUAACUGUUGAAUUGCCAUUGAUACUGCUUUGCUUGAGUAUAGUCGAAGUAGGUGGAAUUCCACAUGUAGUGGUGAAAUGCAUAGAUAUGUGGAGGAACGCCGAUAACGAAGGUAGCUUACUAGGCUAUUACUGACGCUGAGGUACGAAAGCGUGGGGAGCGAACGGG
This 253-nucleotide ribosomal RNA is filed under the name uncultured bacterium. Its description in RNAcentral is "partial 16S ribosomal RNA". It matches the Rfam family "Bacterial small subunit ribosomal RNA", at positions 524 to 776 of the family's 1533-position model. The record is from RNAcentral.